This 1687-nucleotide long non-coding RNA is filed under the name Mytilus galloprovincialis (Mediterranean mussel). The record is from RNAcentral. Lineage: Eukaryota; Metazoa; Mollusca; Bivalvia; Mytilida; Mytilidae.
CAGUAUUCUUUUGUAUCAUUAUUUUUCAGUGAAUUCAUUUUAUUUCUGAUUUCUUUCCUGUAUUUCUUUUGCGCUUUAUUCAUUACUUUUUUAUAUUGCUUUUCGCUUGCUUUUGCGAGGUUGCAGUAAUGUGUAGACAGAUUUUUUUUCUGCGUUUAAAUCCGAAAUUGUUGUCUUGUCUUUGAGCAAUCUAAAUCAAAUCAAAGUUUGUUUUGCGUGCUUCGUUGGGAUUUUGUUAUAAUAUUAGCUUCAGAAACGUUUGUUUUUAGUACCAAAAGUUUUUUAUCCGAAUCUAAUGGGCUAUUUUCUAUUUUAUGUACAAUUGAGUCUAUACUUAAUUGGUUGAAGUUCUAAGUGUCUUCAAUUUCUUUCAUUAAGAUAACUAUCAUUUCAGUAUCAAUAUUUUCUUGGAAAAGCAAUGAUUUUGAAGGGUUCCAUUUCUUAAUUUUCUCAUCUUUGCCAAUAUCAAUGCCAUCAUUUGUUUCCUUAUCUAAAAUUAAGCACUUUAUUGAUAGAAGUAAAGGGGAAUGAACGUCGGAAUAUAAACUGGAAAAAUCUAAAAUUUCAAAGUUUAAAAGAUUUUGUAAAGAAGAUACAUUACUGAUGCAAUAAUCGACUACGCUAGCAUUUCGACAUGUUAAUUUACCUUCCCUGUCUCUUGUUUUUCUGCCAUUCAUGAUGAAAAGAUUAUUACCUUUACAAAAAUCUAAUAACUGAUUCCCAAAACGGUUUUUGCAUUUGUCUUUAUUAUUCCUUUUCCGGGUCAAGCUUUUUUUCGUCUAAUUCACACACCAUGUUUACAGUCACGCCCUCAUCAUAAGUACAUAUUUCAUUUUCAUUAACAUAAACAAAAUCUCUGUCUUCUGCUGUUCGCGCGUGUAAGUCACCGAUAAAAAUACUUUUUUUCAAAUUUGCUUGAGAGAUCUAAAUAUUCAUUUUCAAUUUCAUCGAGAGCACUUGACGAAGAGUAUGAUGUGUAUUCCGAAUGUCAUCCAAAUCAUCAGUUUUCGUUUCUACAAAGCAAGCAAUGCCAUUUUUGUAAAUUAGUUCACUAAAUUCGAGAUAAUUGAUUUUUGAUUUUUGACCACAACGGUUAAUACACAGUAUAUUUAAAAUGUUCUGCUCAUUUCCUAUAUGAACUUCCUCAUUCAAGGGUUCUCUCGAUUCAUCCUACAUAUUGGUUGACAAAGUAAUUUCCUCGUUUUCGUCUCCGACAGAGUCACUUCUCGAGCGUUUAGAUCGACGUGGUGGUAUUGGCGGGGGAUCCAUUAAUUGUUAGAGGAGAGUUUUUGCUCAGAAGAACAUCCUUGUAUUCUUUUGUUUGGUUGUUGGAGGCCGUUGUGUUAUUGUAUGGUUUUCCAUUUAUAUUAAGCUUGUCUCAGACAAGCUUCACUUUUUUGCCCUCACUUUUUGCCUUUUUUCAUAAUUGGGUAGAGUUCUUUUCUUUUAUUUUCAAUUUCUGGUGGGAACUGUUCAAUAACAUCAAAUUUUUUGCCUUUUAACUUAUAAGUUCGGCUGAGGACGUGUUUCAUUUCUCUUCGAUAAAUAAAGCGUAUCACUAUAGGUCGGACUCCAUUUAGGCCUGGUUUGCCAAAGCGGUGAACAUUUCCAAAUGAUACACGGUAGUUUAUGCCUAGUUCCGCUUCUAAGAAAUUUUGAAUUUUUGCAUCACAUAUGUCAUUUUGUU